CGCUGAACUUAAGCAUAUCAAUAAGCGGAGGAAAAGAAACUAACAAGGAUUCCCCUAGUAACGGCGAGUGAAGCGGGAAGAGCUCAAGCUUAAAAUCUCCGUGCAAGUUUUGCGCGGCGAAUUGUAGUCUAUAGAGGCGUGGUCAGCGUGGGCGCUUGGGGCAAGUUCCUUGGAAGAGGACAGCAUGGAGGGUGAUACUCCCGUUCAUCCCUGAGUGGCUCGUGCGUACGACCCGUGUUCUUUGAGUCGCGUUGUUUGGGAAUGCAGCGCAAAGUAGGUGGUAAAUUCCAUCUAAAGCUAAAUAUUGGUGCGAGACCGAUAGCGAACAAGUACCGUGAGGGAAAGAUGAAAAGAACUUUGAAAAGAGAGUUAAAGAGUACCUGAAACUGCUGAAAGGGAACCGAAUCGUUUCCAGUGUCUAUAAUCCGUGGCAUAUUUCAUUGGCGAGUGUGCGCGUGCGUGUGCUGUGGCAGUGGCUUUUUUGGCUGCGCUCGGUGUGUGUGCUGUGUGUGCUUGCUGGUGCCCUGUGCUGCGGUGGGACGUCAAGGUCAGUUCGUAUGCUGCGGGAAAUGGCUGCCGAGGAGGUAGGGCUUACGCUCCGCGUUUGUCUGUUAUAUCUUGGUGGACGAGUCGUCGCGGUUGGGACUGAGGUGCCUACAACGUGCUUUUGAGUGGGUUUGUGUCUCCGUGUGCGCCGUGUGCGGAUAGCUUGCUAUGCGUGUGUGGUUGUGUGUGGAUUGAUGCGGGCUUUAACUUGUCGCCGUUCGGGACGUUGACGAAAUGGAGCGAUCCGACCCGUCUUGAAACACGGACCAAGGAGUCUAACAUGUGUGCAAGUGUUAGGGUGUGGAAACCCCAGCGCGAAAUGAAAGUGAAGGGCAGCGCAAGUUGUCUGAGGUAGGAAACGUUGCGGGCUUCGGUCUGCGGCGUGGCACUAUCGACCGAUCAUGAACCUUCGUGGUGAAAGAUUUGAGUUUGAGCACAUAUGUUGGUACCCGAAAGAUGGUGAACUAUGCCUGAGUAGGGUGAAGCCAGGGGAAACUCUGGUGGAAGCUCGUAGCGAUUCUGACGUGCAAAUCGAUCGUCAAACUUGGGUAUAGGGGCGAAAGACUAAUCGAACCAUCUAGUAGCUGGUUCCCUCCGAAAUUUCCCUCAGGAUAGCAGCAACUUAUUUACGAUAGUUUUAUGAGGUAAAGCGAAUGAUUAGAGGAUUCGGGGAAGAAACUUCCUCGACCUAUUCUCAAACUUUAAAUCUGUAAGACCUGCAGGUUUCUUAAUUGAACUUGUGGAUGUGAAUAUCAAGUUGCUAGUGGGCCAUACGGGGUAAGCUCGUCUGGCG
This 1339-nucleotide ribosomal RNA is filed under the name Phytophthora sojae. RNAcentral describes it as "eukaryotic LSU rRNA". It matches the Rfam family "Eukaryotic large subunit ribosomal RNA", at positions 26 to 1155 of the family's 3401-position model. The record is from RNAcentral. Lineage: Eukaryota; Oomycota; Peronosporomycetes; Peronosporales; Peronosporaceae.